Long non-coding RNA from Anolis carolinensis (green anole), 3067 nucleotides. RefSeq lists it as uncharacterized. The record is from RefSeq and is a predicted model, not a curated record. Lineage: Eukaryota; Metazoa; Chordata; Lepidosauria; Squamata; Anolidae. The transcript is spliced from 3 exons.
AGAGGCAGUCAUCCAGCAAAAGAAAAAAAUGUUCCUGUGUUCGGGAUUUUAAUUGCAAGGCCAGAAAACUUCAUAGAAUGGAUUAUAGAUUAACUCAGCAACAGCAGAUGAUUUCCAUUUACUCUCUUUACAGGGAAGGGAAAAGAGGUUUGCACCCAACAAGGAGGAGGGCCCAUUUCCUAGAGGCCUAGAAAUGUAGAAUUUCUCUUUUAUUUUAGAGCUGUUGAUUGGGAUAAGAAACAAUUAACCGAGUUAGUUCUCAGGCAGAAGGCCCUUUGUCAAAAGCUGGGCAGGGGAGGGUUUGCAUUUCUGGGCUUUUGGUCUAGGGGCUGGCAAGAGAAAAAAAAGCCCAGUGAACAAUAUCUUUUAUAAUCUUGCCCUCAUUUCUCAAAUUUGAAAUGUAUCUUUCUGUCUCUCUGUAUCACCUUGACACACAUUUUUCUGUUCCUUUAGACUAUACUCAUCUUGCUCCUUGCCCAUCUUGCUCCUUUUCCCUUGCCAUUCAUUUCCAACUACCUAACCCAUAAUCCCUUUGUGCCAGAUUUCCUAUCCCUUGCGCCGUAUCCCAGUUCUAGAGGAAUCCCAAAAGCCUUUUUUGCCUGCUGGGCUGCCGAGGAACUUCUGGGAUGCCUUUUCUUUGUCCUCCAUGGGAAACACAGGGGAGAUCGGAGCCCCGUGAAAGCUCCACAGAUAAUAACCUGCGUUUGUCUCCAGCACAAUGGGGAUACUGCAUCUCGUGUUUCUCCCCCAUUGUGAGCCCCACAUGUGUCGCCUAUCAAUUUUAUAUUUUACUAGCUGUGCCCGGCCACGUGUUGCUGUGGUGAAGUAUGGUGGUAUGGGAAAUAAAGUAUUGAGGAACUGGUGGUAGUUAAGGUAAAGGGUAAAGGUUUUCCCCUGACAUUAAGUCCAUUAUAAAUGGGUUAUAUAGCUGUGUGGAAGUACCUUGAGUCUACACUGCCAUAUAAUCCAGUUGAAAUCAGAUAAUCUGUAUCUUAUAGGCAGUGUGAAAGAGGCCAAAGUAAGGCCUAACUGUGCCUGUCCCCUGGACUGAGUGGGUUGCUAGGAAACCAAGUGGGCGGAGCUUAGCCCUCUAAACUGGCAGCAAUUGGAUAAAACAAUUAUUGCUCUCCCUCUAAUUAGGACUUUAUUUUUCUUUUGUUUUUGUUGUAUCAACCUAGAGGCGUGGAUGAUGGAUUGUGUUGUCAAAUUUCGAGAUUGGGGGGCCUGUAGUUUUGUUGUUUUGUGGGUUGCUGUGAUGCCAUCGCUCAUUUAUAUAUAUAGAUUAUUAUUAUUUGUCUUUAUUAUAUCUUACCCCUUAUAAAUGAAGCAUGAUGACCUUAAUAUGAACUCUGGCCAGCACGUUACACCAACUAAGCACCAUCCGGAUGCCUAAGGCUAAUGGAUUACAAAACAUGGAUUACUCUCUGCAGAAGAAACAAUGGGUUUCCUCUCUGGACCUCGGAGGACACAGAUGUCAGGCCAUCCAGGAAGGAGCACUUUUGGACAUUCUGAACCAUUCAUCAUAAGGGACUCAUUUUCCUGCAAAGGAGGACAGGACCCAACAAAAGCCACCUCUUUCUUGGACUCUGAAUUACUUAAUCCCAUCAUCAGCCAUCACCUCCUCCAUUGUUCAGAGACCUGCCAGCCCCUCUUUCAUCAUUGGACAGAGGGAGAAUUUGCAUCCAAGUCAGGCAGCGCUCUCUCAUUGGCCGAGGCGUGUCAAGCUCCCACCUCUCCAGGGAGUCCCUGCCAAUCACAGCAAGACUGGGUCCAGCCAGGGACGGUAGGAAUUUGAACUUGAAAAACUGUAUCAAAGUGCAUGCUUUGGUAUGUUAUGUAUCUAAGUCUAUUUUUGGUGAACUCUCGCAGGCUGGCAUCACUUUCAGCUGAAAUUGAAUAAAAUUCCUCGGUGGCUUCUGUUUCAACUUGGUGAAAAGAUGUGAUGAUCGGCCUGUUUCCUGCACACCAGACAUCUUCCUUCAUCUGCCUCAUGACCCGGAAGCAUAUCAUUCGACAGCCACCAUCCUCAUCAAGUCCUUGCAUCAGGAUGUGCUCAGCUCGUGAAAAACUCAGGUGCCAAUGGUAAUUGGAAGCGGCCAAUAGAUCAAAACCGAAGGACUGCAGAAAAAGUUGAAAUGGUUGAGCAGUGAAGGACUGGGAAGAGGGGACAGAAGUCAUCCAGGAGGAAAAGCUGAUAAGGAGAAGACCUAGCUAUGGCUCACGAAUGGGACCCUAAAGAAGGAGACAGAAGGCUUGAUCCUUGCAGCCCAGGAGCAAGCCAUCAGAACAAAUGCAAUUAAGGCCAAGAUUGAAAAAUCAGCUGAUGACCCAAAAUGCAGACUCUGCAAGAAAGCUGAUGAAACCAUUGAUCAUAUCCUCAGCUGCUGUAAGAAAAUCACACAGACAGACUACAAACAGAGGCACAACUAUGUGGCCCAAAUGAUUCAUUGGAACUUAUGCCUCAAGUACCACCUCCCAGCAGCAAAGAUCUGGUGGGAUCACAAACCUGCAAAAGUAUUGGAAAAUGAGCACGCAAAGAUACUGUGGGACUUCCGAAUCCAGAUGGACAAAGUUCUGGAACACAACACACCAGACAUCACAGUUGUGGAAAAGAAAAAGGUUUGGAUCAUUGAUGUUGCCAUCCCAGGUGACAGUCGGAUUGACGAAAAACAACAGGAAAAACUCAGCUGCUAUCAGGACCUCAAGAUUGAACUUCAAAGACUCUGGCAGAAACCAGUGCAGGUGAUCAGCACAUUGGGUGCCGUGCCAAAGGAUCUCAGCCAGUAUUUGGAAACAAUAGACAUUGACAAAAUUACGAUCUGCCAACUGCAAAAGGCCACCCUGCUGGGAUCUGUGCACAUCAUCCAAAAAUACAUCACACAGUCCUAGACACUUGGGAAGUGUUCGACUUGUGAUUUUGUGAUAUGAAAUCCAGCAUAUCUAUCUUGUUUGCUGUGUCAUAAUAAUAAUAAUAACAACAACAACACAACAACAACAACAACAACUUCAUUUGGAUCCCACCCUAUCUCCCCAUGGGGACUCAGGCCGGCUUCCAACAUAGUAACAG